This 253-nucleotide ribosomal RNA is filed under the name uncultured bacterium. RNAcentral describes it as "partial 16S ribosomal RNA". It matches the Rfam family "Bacterial small subunit ribosomal RNA", at positions 524 to 776 of the family's 1533-position model. The record is from RNAcentral.
UACGUAGGUGGCGAGCGUUGUCCGGAUUUACUGGGCGCAAAGGGAGCGUAGGCGGACUUUUAAGUGAGAUGUGAAAUACUCGGGCUCAACUUGAGUGCUGCAUUUCAAACUGGAAGUCUAGAGUGCAGGAGAGGAGAAUGGAAUUCCUAGUGUAGCGGUGAAAUGCGUAGAGAUUAGGAAGAACACCAGUGGCGAAGGCGAUUCUCUGGACUGUAACUGACGCUGAGGCUCGAAAGCGUGGGGAGCAAACAGG